Molecule: ribosomal RNA, 258 nt
Filed under: uncultured bacterium
Lineage: Bacteria
Description: partial 16S ribosomal RNA
Rfam family: Bacterial small subunit ribosomal RNA
Source: RNAcentral
UACGUAGGGUGCGAGCGUUAAUCGGAAUUACUGGGCGUAAAGGGUGCGCAGGCGGUUAUAUAAGACAGAUGUGAAAUCCCCGGGCUCAACCUGGGAACUGCGUUUGUGACUGUAUGACUAGAGUACGGUAGAGAGGGGUGGAAUUCCUGGUGUAGCAGUGAAAUGCGUAGAUAUCAGGAGGAACAUCGAUGGCGAAGGCAGCCCUUGGACCUGUACUGACGCUCAUGCACGAAAGCGUGGGGAGCAAACAGGAUAGAU